Molecule: transfer RNA, 72 nt
Filed under: Camelus bactrianus (Bactrian camel)
Lineage: Eukaryota; Metazoa; Chordata; Mammalia; Artiodactyla; Camelidae
Also listed under: 1 other name
Rfam family: tRNA
About the family: Transfer RNA (tRNA) molecules are approximately 80 nucleotides in length. Their secondary structure includes four short double-helical elements and three loops (D, anti-codon, and T loops).
Source: Rfam by way of RNAcentral
GAGGGUAGAGCUCAGUGGUAGAGUUCAUGCUUAGCAUGCAUGAAGUCCUGGGUUCAAUCCCCAGUACCCCCA